Boleophthalmus pectinirostris (great blue-spotted mudskipper) is the source of this 321-nucleotide long non-coding RNA. RefSeq lists it as uncharacterized. NCBI's taxonomy places the organism in Eukaryota, Metazoa, Chordata, Actinopteri, Gobiiformes, Gobiidae. The transcript is spliced from 5 exons. The record is from RefSeq and is a predicted model, not a curated record.
GGGGUCAGAGGUCAGGGUCAGAGGUGGGAGUCUGGGGUCAGGGUCAGAGGUGGGAGUCUGGGGUCAGAAGUCGGAGUCUGGGGUCAGAGGUGGGAGUCGGGGUCAGGGUCAGAGGUGGGAGUCAGAGGUCAGGGUCAGAGGUGGGAGUCGGGGUCAGGGUCAGAGGUGGGAGUCUGGGGUCAGAAGUCGGAGUCUGGGGUCAGAGGUGGGAGUCUGGGGUCAGAGGUGGGAGUCUGGGGUCAGGGUCAGAGGUGGGAGUCUGGGGUCAGAGGUGGGAGUCAGAGGUCAGGGUCAGAGGUGGGAGUCUGGGGUCGGGGUCAG